AGGGUGUAAACGCUGCAGACUUGGUGUUGGAAGCCCUUUGGGGGCAUUCAGUGCCGGAGAGAAGUUGUUAAGUCUGCUGCUUGGGGAGUACGUCCGCAAGGAUGAAACUUAAAGGAAUUGGCGGGGGGAGCACCGCAACGGGAGGAGCGUGCGGUUUAAUUGGAUUCAACACCGUAAACUCACCAGGGAAGACUGUUACAUGAAGGCCGAGAUGAAGACUCUGCUAGAUUUUCAGAGAGGAGGUGCAUGGCGUCAGUGACU
RNAcentral lists this ribosomal RNA (261 nucleotides) under uncultured archaeon. Its description in RNAcentral is "partial 16S ribosomal RNA". It matches the Rfam family "Archaeal small subunit ribosomal RNA", at positions 748 to 1008 of the family's 1478-position model. The record is from RNAcentral.